GUGGUUAUCUUCAGAGCCGGAAAACGUAUAAAAAAUAGAGUCUGUCGACAUCCGCCAGACUCUACAGUACACACAGCAGUGCAUCCGCGUCUUCAUUCCGGCCUUGGUUCCUGUCUGCCGGUGACAGUGUUAUAACGGUUUUGCCACUCAGUUGCCAAUUUUCUUCAGUGACUGAAUUCA
This 180-nucleotide unclassified non-coding RNA is filed under the name Escherichia albertii TW07627. RNAcentral's name for it is "IS061 RNA, putative". The record is from RNAcentral. Lineage: Bacteria; Pseudomonadati; Pseudomonadota; Gammaproteobacteria; Enterobacterales; Enterobacteriaceae.